RNAcentral lists this long non-coding RNA (419 nucleotides) under Homo sapiens (human). RNAcentral describes it as "non-protein coding lnc-ALDH1L1-1:1". Lineage: Eukaryota; Metazoa; Chordata; Mammalia; Primates; Hominidae. The record is from RNAcentral.
CUUGGCUUCAGGAAGGAACAAUUCAUUUCAAUACCAUCCAGCAGCUGGAUCUUUUCUGUAGAUAUGAGGACAGAUGGUCUGAGGCCCCAUAUGUGCAGGCUUUCUUUACCUUGCAGGGUAAUCCAGACAUUUGCCGACACUGUAGGAUUGAUCCAGACCUCCUGUUUGCCAUCUCAGGAGAGGCUGCAAGAAACAAUCCCAGAGCAGAUGAAAAGAAGAGCAGAAAAGUGGCAGAACAGUGAGGCAGAGAAGGAGAGAAGAGAAGGAGCAUCUGAACAUCUAGAGUUCAGCUGGGGACUGUCAGAGAGAAGAUCAGCCACUGGACGGCCAAACUCCAGGGGAAGAUCAUCUUCCCACUUCAUCCCCUCUCCAGCUUCCUAUCCAUCCCACUGAGAGCCACCUCCAUCACCCAGUAAAAU